This 253-nucleotide ribosomal RNA is filed under the name uncultured bacterium. RNAcentral describes it as "partial 16S ribosomal RNA". It matches the Rfam family "Bacterial small subunit ribosomal RNA", at positions 524 to 776 of the family's 1533-position model. The record is from RNAcentral.
UACGUAGGGGGCAAGCGUUGUCCGGAAUCAUUGGGCGUAAAGCGCGUGUAGGCGGUUCGGUAAGUCUGCUGUGAAAGUCCAGGGCUCAACCCUGGGAUGCCGGUGGAUACUGUCGGACUAGAGUCCGGAAGAGGCGAGUGGAAUUCCUGGUGUAGCGGUGAAAUGCGCAGAUAUCGGGAGGAACACCAGUGGCGAAGGCGACUAUCUGGGCUGCAACUGACGCUGAGGCGCGAAGGCUAGGGUAGCAAACGGG